Molecule: ribosomal RNA, 497 nt
Filed under: uncultured bacterium
Lineage: Bacteria
Description: partial 16S ribosomal RNA
Rfam family: Bacterial small subunit ribosomal RNA
Source: RNAcentral
GAUGAACGCUGGCGGCGUGCCUAAUACAUGCAAGUCGAGCGAACGGACGAGAAGCUUGCUUCUCUGAUGUUAGCGGCGGACGGGUGAGUAACACGUGGAUAACCUACCUAUAAGACUGGGAUAACUUCGGGAAACCGGAGCUAAUACCGGAUGAUAUUUUGAACCGCAUGGUUCAAAAGUGAAAGACGGUCUUGCUGUCACUUAUAGAUGGAUCCGCGCUGCAUUAGCUAGUUGGUAAGGUAACGGCUUACCAAGGCAACGAUGCAUAGCCGACCUGAGAGGGUGAUCGGCCACACUGGAACUGAGACACGGUCCAGACUCCUACGGGAGGCAGCAGUAGGGAAUCUUCCGCAAUGGGCGAAAGCCUGACGGAGCAACGCCGCGUGAGUGAUGAAGGUCUUCGGAUCGUAAAACUCUGUUAUUAGGGAAGAACAUAUGUGUAAGUAACUGUGCACAUCUUGACGGUACCUAAUUAGAAAGCCACGGCUAACUACGCG